Molecule: ribosomal RNA, 498 nt
Filed under: uncultured bacterium
Lineage: Bacteria
Description: partial 16S ribosomal RNA
Rfam family: Bacterial small subunit ribosomal RNA
Source: RNAcentral
AUUGAACGCUGGCGGAAUGCUUUACACAUGCAAGUCGAACGGCAGCACGGGGCAACCUGGUGGCGAGUGGCGAACGGGUGAGUAAUACAUCGGAACGUGCCCAGUCGUGGGGGAUAACGUAGCGAAAGUUACGCUAAUACCGCAUACGAUCUAAGGAUGAAAGCGGGGGAUCGCAAGACCCCGCGCGAUUGGAGCGGCCGAUGUCAGAUUAGGUAGUUGGUGGGGUAAAGGCCCACCAAGCCGACGAUCUGUAGCUGGUCUGAGAGGACGACCAGCCACACUGGGACUGAGACACGGCCCAGACUCCUACGGGAGGCAGCAGUGGGGAAUUUUGGACAAUGGGCGCAAGCCUGAUCCAGCCAUUCCGCGUGCAGGAUGAAGGCCUUCGGGUUGUAAACUGCUUUUGUACGGAGCGAAAAGGCUCUCUCUAAUACAGGGGGCUCAUGACGGUACCGUAAGAAUAAGCACCGGCUAACUACGUGCCAGCCGCCGCAGUAA